AGAGUUUGAUCAUGGCUCAGGAUGAACGCUGGCUGUGUGCCUAAUACAUGCAUGUCGAGCGAAGCACUUCGGUGCUUAGCGGCGAAUGGGUGAGUAACACGUACUUAACCUACCCCCAAGAUUGGGACAACACCUGGAAACGGGUGCUAAUACCAAAUACGUAUUUUUAUCGCAUGAUAGAAAUAUAAAAGGAGCUUCGGCUUCACUAGGGGAUGGGAGUGCGCUACAUUAGUUAGUUGGUAGGGUAAUGGCCUACCAAGACGAUGAUGUAUAGCGGGGCCGAGAGGCUGAUCCGCCACACUGGGACUGAGAUACGGCCCAGACUCCUACGGGAGGCAGCAGUAGGGAAUUUUCCACAAUGAACGAAAGUUUGAUGGAGCGACACAGCGUGCAGGAUGAGGGUCUUCGGAUCGUAAACUGCUGUUAUAAGGGAAGAAAAACUUUAGUAGGUAAUGACUAGAACUUGACGGUACCUUAUCAGAAAGCGACGGCUAACUAUGUGCCAGCAGCCGCGGUAAU
This 519-nucleotide ribosomal RNA is filed under the name uncultured bacterium. Its description in RNAcentral is "bacterial SSU rRNA". It matches the Rfam family "Bacterial small subunit ribosomal RNA", at positions 8 to 524 of the family's 1533-position model. The record is from RNAcentral.